This 460-nucleotide ribosomal RNA is filed under the name uncultured bacterium. RNAcentral's name for it is "partial 16S ribosomal RNA". It matches the Rfam family "Bacterial small subunit ribosomal RNA", at positions 338 to 795 of the family's 1533-position model. The record is from RNAcentral.
CCUACGGGUGGCAGCAGUGAGGAAUAUUGGUCAAUGGGCGCGAGCCUGAACCAGCCAAGCAGCGUGAAGGAUGACUGCCCUACGGGUUGUAAACUUCUUUUAUAAAGGAAUAAAGUGAGGCACGUGUGCCUUUUUGUAUGUACUUUAUGAAUAAGGAUCGGCUAACUCCGUGCCAGCAGCCGCGGUAAUACGGAGGAUCCGAGCGUUAACCGGAUUUAUUGGGUUUAAAGGGAGCGUAGAUGGGUUGUUAAGUCAGUUGUGAAAGUUUGCGGCGCAACCGGAAAAUUGCAAUUGAUACUGGCAUCCUUGAUACCAGUUGAGCUAUGCGGAAUUCGUGGUGUAGCGGUGACAUGCUUAGAUAUCACGAAGAACUCCGAUUGCGAAGGCAGCCUACUAAACUGCCACUGACAUUGAUGCUCGAAAGUGUGGGUAUCAAACAGGAUUAGAUCCCCGAGUAGUC